CACCACACGCAACCAACCUUUUGAUGGACAAAAGGAAUCAAAACCUUAGCAAUAUCCAUCAAAACAAAAGGAUCAAAACCUUGAGAAAUUCUAAGGUUGACAAAACUUAUUUUUCCUAAAUCCAAACCUCAAUCCAAAUCCAUGUUGUGAUCAUUCUCUCCGCAGGCCAAUCCAACCUUCUUCAUCACCAACAGCUUCAAGGUGAUUUGAUUGGUUGGGGCCUAGGAGGAGGAGGAAAAUCUCAAAAUCACAUAUGGGGAAGCAUCCAAGAUGUUGUUGUGGAGAUGAUGGUGAUCAAUCCCCUAUUAACAACGGAGAAAGAAGUAGGCGUAAUCGGAAAAGAGCAUCAUCAUUGUGUCAUUGUCCUGCAGUUUCUUCAAUAUUUAGAAGGAUAGGAAGAUGUAUGUUUGUGACUUGUUUCCCUGUCAUACAAUGUUUUGGAUUAGAUGAAUGUAGACACCACCACCACCAUCACCAUCACCAUAAACAUUUUGCCGAGUUUACAUGAUAGCAAUCUCAAUUAAAUUCUUUUAGUAUUAGAUCGUUUAG
This is a long non-coding RNA of Rosa chinensis, 549 nucleotides long. RefSeq lists it as uncharacterized. The transcript is spliced from 2 exons. The record is from RefSeq and is a predicted model, not a curated record. NCBI's taxonomy places the organism in Eukaryota, Viridiplantae, Streptophyta, Magnoliopsida, Rosales, Rosaceae.